CCAAGACCUUCAUAUCUGCUCCACGAGCUCAGCGCACUGGGCAGCCCGCUUGGUGCUUAGUAGACGCUGACGCUGCUCAUCUCACUUGUCUUCCCGUCCCCCAGGGAGAAACCGACGUCCCCAUCUCAUCCCGCUAGUGAGGCUGUUCCCCAAGCUACCUUGGGGCUGGUCUAGCAGAACAUCCCACUUCCUGUGUCCUCCGAGGAGAGAUUAGCAGAAGGUGAAGAACAGCUAGCCCUGCCCAGAGCUCCCCCGCUGCUCUGAUCAAACACCACCCCGCUGGCUCUUCUUGCACGGGUUCCCCCAGCGCAGGCCAGAAACAGCUGAUCAAACACAUCAGGACAAGCUCAGAAUGGCCUUGGGCUGCUGGAAGUUGCUUGGAAGCCCCGCAUUAGAGCUUCAGCCCUCAACCUGAGAUUCUGCUUUGGAAGCCAUCUGAUAGAGUGGAAAGAGUUCUAGACCAGGUG
RNAcentral lists this long non-coding RNA (467 nucleotides) under Mustela putorius furo (domestic ferret). Its description in RNAcentral is "lncRNA (ENSMPUG00000029834.1)". Lineage: Eukaryota; Metazoa; Chordata; Mammalia; Carnivora; Mustelidae. The record is from RNAcentral.